CGCCAGAGAACUACCAGCGAAAAACUAGAAACUCCAAGGACUUGGCGGUGCUCCACAUCAACCUAGAGGAGCCUGUCCUAUAAUCGAUACUCCACGCUUAACCUUACCCUCCUUAGCCACUCAGCCUAUAUACCGCCGUCGUCAGCCUACCUUGUGAAAGAAACAUAGUAGACAAAACAGUUAACAACUAACACGUCAGGUCAAGGUGUAGCACAUAGGACGGAAGAGAUGGGCUACAUUUUCUAUAAUAGAAAACACGAACGGCGUAAUGAAACUUAUGCCCAAAGGCGGAUUUAGCAGUAAGAUGGGCAAGAAAGACCACCUUAAACUCGCUCUGGAGCGCGCACACACCGCC
RNAcentral lists this ribosomal RNA (355 nucleotides) under Ophiomorus persicus. RNAcentral's name for it is "partial small subunit ribosomal RNA". It matches the Rfam family "Bacterial small subunit ribosomal RNA", at positions 870 to 1394 of the family's 1533-position model. The record is from RNAcentral. Lineage: Eukaryota; Metazoa; Chordata; Lepidosauria; Squamata; Scincidae.